AAAAAAUUCAUGAUCAAGGACAUUUUGCAAAUAAACCUUUGUUUUCCAGGACUUUUUAAUUUGCUUUUUCAAAUGGUUAUCUAUAGAAAGCCUUUUAAAUAGACAAUUCAACUCAAUUACACACCUAUCAAAUUUUAUCAACUAAUUUUGAUCUUUUGUUAUUUUUAAGGUUAUUUCAUCAACAGGCAGCAAGCUGAAAAGACCAACACCAACUUUUCAUUCUAGCCGAACAUCCCUUGCUGGUGACACCAGCAAUAGUUCUUCCCCAGCUUCCACAGGUGCCAAAACUAAUCGGGCAGACCCUAAGAAGUCUGCCAGCCGUCCCGGGAGUCGGGCCGGGAGCCGGGCCGGGAGCCGAGCCAGCAGCCGUCGAGGAAGUGACGCCUCUGACUUUGACCUUCUAGAGACACAGUCAGCGUGUUCAGACACUUCUGAGAGCAGUGCCGCAGGGGGGCAGGGCAGCUCCAGAAGAGGGCUCACCAAACCCUCCAAAAUCCCAACCAUGUCUAAGAAGACCACCACUGCCUCCCCCAGGACUCCAUGUCCCAAGCGAUAACACUGUACAAGCAGCCCACACCACUCUCCACUUUGAAUCCUGCUUCAUACGUUGGGUGUAUAUUUAUUCUGAACGGGAGAAGUUAUAUUGUUAAAAUUGUAAAAG
RNAcentral lists this long non-coding RNA (661 nucleotides) under Rattus norvegicus (Norway rat). Its description in RNAcentral is "long non-coding RNA NONRATT023579". The record is from RNAcentral. Lineage: Eukaryota; Metazoa; Chordata; Mammalia; Rodentia; Muridae.